Molecule: long non-coding RNA, 236 nt
Filed under: Pan troglodytes (chimpanzee)
Lineage: Eukaryota; Metazoa; Chordata; Mammalia; Primates; Hominidae
Description: long non-coding RNA NONPTRT006103
Source: RNAcentral
CUGGGAAGCGCUGUGAAAUGGGCUGGGAUGUCUUCUUACAAGUUGGAGCAUUAGAGGUGUUUUUCUCUCUGUUCAACUGCCUGGGCACUCUGGGUAAAUGUACUGUUUACCUGUGGAGAAGAAGAUGAGGCUCCCGAGCCAGCCGGGAGGACACUUACUACAGCUGCUCAGAAGCACCACUGGAAACUCAGGUAAUACCGGCACUUUGAAUUCCUUGUUUCAGGAAAAUAUCUGCG